RNAcentral lists this ribosomal RNA (980 nucleotides) under Taenia sp. MZH:127052. RNAcentral describes it as "large subunit ribosomal RNA". The stretch from base 659 to 938 matches the Rfam family "Bacterial large subunit ribosomal RNA", at positions 2074 to 2646 of the family's 2925-position model. Lineage: Eukaryota; Metazoa; Platyhelminthes; Cestoda; Cyclophyllidea; Taeniidae. The record is from RNAcentral.
UAAAUUGAUAAAUUGUUUUGGAUUAGUGUUUUGGGUUUGAUUUGCCUUUUGCAUCAUGCUUAGUGGAUUUUUAAAGGGUAUCCUUUUAACCGAAUAGUUUAGAUCUUAGUAUUAGUUGUUUGGAAUAUAUUCUAAGUUGAGUAAAUUUAGAUAAACUAAUUUUAUGAUGUGAUAAGUUAUUCGUUAAAUUAUAUAUCUGUUUAGUUGCUUCGAUGUUUGUGAAUUACGUGAUAAGUUAGAAGAUUUAUUAUGAUGUUAUACUUCAAAUAUGUUUGUAUUAGUAGAAUUAGGUUAAAAGUACCUAUUUUUUGUGAGUUUGUUAUAAAAGUUAUUUAAUUUUAGUUGUGGGGUUAAUUUGUGUGGCAGCUUGAUCUAACAUAUAGUAUUUUAUUUAUCAUUAAAUUAGUAAUUACAAUAUACUAAUUAUUUCUCAGGGUCUUUCCGUCUGUUUAUUAAAAACAUUUCUAACUAAAAUAGUAGUUAGUAGUGCCUGCCCAGUGUUAAUUGUAAUAAAUGGCCGCAGUAUCUUGACUGUGCAAAGGUAGCAUAAUUAAUUGCCUUUUAAUUGGGGGCUUGUUUGAAAGGUUUGACGUGUGAGAUGUGAAUAUUUGGUAUUGGUUUGAAUUUGAUGAUGGGGAUACAGAAUUCCCUUAGUUUUAAUAAGACGGAAAGACCCUGGGAUCUUUCUUUUUUGCUUGGGGCAAGUUUUAUUUUUUCAAUAAAAUUAAGACCCUAUUAAUGGUUUAAUGAGCUAAGUUACCCCAGGGAUAACAGUGUAAUGAUUAAUAAGAGAUCAUAUCGAAUUAAUUGUUUGCUACCUCGAUGUUGACUUAGGUUAGGAUUCAGGUGCAGUAGUCUGGAUUUUUGGUCUGUUCGACCAUAUUUGCCUUCAUGAGUUGAGUUAAGACCGGCGUGAGCCAGGUCGGUUCUUAUCUAUUGUAGAAGUUUAUCAGUACGAAAGGAUAGUAAGCUUUUUUGUU